This 253-nucleotide ribosomal RNA is filed under the name uncultured bacterium. Its description in RNAcentral is "partial 16S ribosomal RNA". It matches the Rfam family "Bacterial small subunit ribosomal RNA", at positions 524 to 776 of the family's 1533-position model. The record is from RNAcentral.
UGCGAAGGGGGCUAGCGUUGCUCGGAAUUACUGGGCGUAAAGGGCGCGUAGGCGGACAUUUAAGUCAGAGGUGAAAGCCCAGGGCUCAACCUUGGAAUUGCCUUUGAUACUGGAUGUCUUGAGUUCGGGAGAGGUGAGUGGAAUGCCGAGUGUAGAGGUGAAAUUCGUAGAUAUUCGGAGGAACACCAGAAGCGAAGGCGGCUCACUGGCCCGAUACUGACGCUGAGGCGCGAAAGCGUGGGGAGCAAACAGG